Molecule: long non-coding RNA, 592 nt
Filed under: Nicotiana tabacum (common tobacco)
Lineage: Eukaryota; Viridiplantae; Streptophyta; Magnoliopsida; Solanales; Solanaceae
Description: long non-coding RNA (NTAB_LNC001286)
Source: RNAcentral
CAACUUAGUUCCCCUCCUUCCUUUUUGCAGCGAACUCCACACUGACGGAAUCAAAUUGUAUGUUCCUCUUUUUCACUUCAUUUCUAUCUUUAAUUAGACCAAAACUGUUAUAUCCCUUUUAUUAAUGAAUAUAUUAUAGUAAACCGCGAAUUCUACUGAAUUUGAUUUUGAUUUGCUCUGUUUUCUCCUAUUUUUCAAUGAGCUUUGAUUUACCACAUUAAUCUGCGAUUAAAGUAGUACUAAUAACUAUCAAAAAGAAUUUGUCCAGUGUUUAUUUGGUCCUAUAGCCCAAGCCCCGGAGACGUGAUAAAAUCAAAUAUAUAGUUCGUUUUUAUUUUUGUUGAUUUUAUAUUAAUUUAUUUUUUAUUCUUGUAUUUACGGCCAAUUCUCACUCCACGAACAGAGAAAAAACUUAGAAGCCAUUUCCUCAAAUUUCAAGCCCAACUUCAUCUUCUAACAAGUACAGGUAAAUUUCUAUUUUUUUUUAGUCUUCUCCAUCUGUAAGGUUUUUACUUAAAUGGGAAUUAUGUAAUUUCCACGGAGAAAUUAAAUAGAGAAGCAAAUGAUUGGAGACAAGCAAUCGGGAUUUGAG